UGGGGAAUAUUGGACAAUGGGCGCAAGCCUGAUCCAGCCAUGCCGCGUGAGUGAUGAAGGCCCUAGGGUCGUAAAGCUCUUUCACCGGUGAAGAUAAUGACGGUAACCGGAGAAGAAGCCCCGGCUAACUUCGUGCCAGCAGCCGCGGUAAUACGAAGGGGGCUAGCGUUGUUCGGAAUUACUGGGCGUAAAGCGCACGUAGGCGGACAUUUAAGUCAGGGGUGAAAUCCCGGGGCUCAACCCCGGAACUGCCUUUGAUACUGGGUGUCUAGAGUUCGAGAGAGGUGAGUGGAAUUCCGAGUGUAGAGGUGAAAUUCGUAGAUAUUCGGAGGAACACCAGUGGCGAAGGCGGCUCACUGGCUCGAUACUGACGCUGAGGUGCGAAAGCGUGGGGAGCAAAGCAGGAUUAGAUACCCUGGUAGUCCACGCCGUAAACGAUGGAAGCCAGCUGUCGGCAAGUUUACUUGUCGGUGGCGCAGCU
RNAcentral lists this ribosomal RNA (481 nucleotides) under uncultured bacterium. Its description in RNAcentral is "partial 16S ribosomal RNA". It matches the Rfam family "Bacterial small subunit ribosomal RNA", at positions 355 to 853 of the family's 1533-position model. The record is from RNAcentral.